This is a long non-coding RNA of Molossus molossus (Pallas's mastiff bat), 799 nucleotides long. RefSeq lists it as uncharacterized. The transcript is spliced from 5 exons. The record is from RefSeq and is a predicted model, not a curated record. NCBI's taxonomy places the organism in Eukaryota, Metazoa, Chordata, Mammalia, Chiroptera, Molossidae.
UUAUUGGCUUUUGAUUGUAAUCCAGUCAACUCUCAACUCUUGUGGCUAUCAGGAAGAAGCCUUCAUCUCUUCUAAAGCAGUGACAUGUACAAGACACACAAAUAUGAAAAGAACCACAGAACCGCAGAUUUAAGAAUCUUAUUAAAUUACUAGAGGGUGUGUGGACUCUCGGGACAAGAUUAUGACUGAACUAGACAGAAGUGAAUGUCACGCAGAGAUCCUGGACUUGGAGCUGGGUGCAGGAACUGAUGAGACUUUGGGUCUUCCCUUUUGGAGAGGAAGUACUAAAUGGAUGUCUGACAGAUGCAUGCAUACAUGAUGAAUUAGCAAGACCAAAGAGAUGGAUUUGUUUCCUGGACUGCAGCCUAUGAUGCAGUAAUGAAAGCAUCAGGACCUUGCAGGGCGAGAGGUACAGGCAUCAACCAGGUGAGGAAUCUAAGAGAGACCAUCUCCAAAACAAGCUGGGACCCCAAAAGGCCACCCUGUCACGUUAACGACUUCUUCGCAGGCAGCACACGUUUUGCCUGGUGCCUUCACAGUUCUUCAAGUGUGUCUUCUCCUUGCUGUCAAACCACCACCACAGCACAAACCAGGAUCUUCCAGGGAGAUGCAGGGAGAUGUGGGAGUGUCUCCAGCUUCCAGAACCCACAGCAGAACACAGAACAGGUGCCCCAGGACCAGCUGGAAGGUGAAGCGUGGCAGGCAGCAGGCCCUCCACGACUGGUCGGGCUCUCUCAGCUCUGCCUCCGAGUGCCAGUGUCCGCUGGGCCGCAACUGACCACUCAGAACCCUACAGAGU